UUCGGUUAAGUUAUGAAGGGCGCACGGUGGAUGCCUUGGCACUAGGAGCCGACGAAGGACGGGACUAACACCGAUAUGCUUUGGGGAGCUGUAAGUGAGCUUUGAUCCAGAGAUUUCCGAAUGGGGGAACCCAUUGUUCGUAAUGGAACAAUAUCCUUACUUGAAUACAUAGAGUAUGGAAGGC
Molecule: ribosomal RNA, 184 nt
Filed under: Rossellomorea aquimaris
Lineage: Bacteria; Bacillati; Bacillota; Bacilli; Caryophanales; Bacillaceae
Description: Bacillus aquimaris partial 23S ribosomal RNA
Rfam family: Bacterial large subunit ribosomal RNA
Source: RNAcentral